CCCCUUGCCGUGUCGGGGUCAUGACACGGCAUCCUCCCUGUUGGACUAGGCCGGGCCUCGCGCCCGGCCCUUUUU
This 75-nucleotide non-coding RNA is filed under the name Rhodobacter sp. CACIA14H1. RNAcentral describes it as "Singlet oxygen resistance RNA X". It matches the Rfam family "Singlet oxygen resistance RNA X". From Rfam's summary of the family: SorX (RSs2461)like SorY is a singlet oxygen induced sRNA that counteracts oxidative stress by targeting mRNA for a transporter in Rhodobacter. The record is from Rfam by way of RNAcentral. Lineage: Bacteria; Pseudomonadati; Pseudomonadota; Alphaproteobacteria; Rhodobacterales.